Capra hircus (goat) is the source of this 654-nucleotide long non-coding RNA. RefSeq lists it as uncharacterized. The transcript has 2 exons. NCBI's taxonomy places the organism in Eukaryota, Metazoa, Chordata, Mammalia, Artiodactyla, Bovidae. The record is from RefSeq and is a predicted model, not a curated record.
UCCCAUUGCAGCUGGAAGGGAGGAGGCUGGCCAGGGGAGGCGGGAGCCAACGACCCAGAAUAGCAAAGAAGACAGAAGCUAAGCACACCCAGAGCUGCUUUUAGCCGGCAAUGUUGGGGGAGUCCCGUGUUCCUGGGGCUGGCGUCUGCCAGGCCACCGACCGUCUGCUGCCUGGCUCCAGCUGCCCGCCCACGGCGGCAUCUGAGUCUACAUCUUCACGUCACCUCUGUCAGGACCUGCCCUCCAGCACAGGCUGUCCCCGGCCCUUGUCUCUUGGAUUCUCACUUGGCACGUGGUGUGGCGUUGUGUCCUUGGGAGUGUUUGUGGUCACUGCUGGGGCCUUGUUUUGCUUCAGCUCAGCAGUCUGGGCAGAAGUGCCAUGGUCCCCCCGGGUGGGGAAUUUGAUGGGAGAAACCCCACCAUGGUUCUGGGGCCCUUGUUCCUAGAGACUGACGAGAUUCGGUCUUUAAGGCUGUGAUGCUGACCGUGACGUGGUCAUUACUGUUAGUUGAAACCGUUCAUGGCGCUGUUCUUUCAGGAACCUUCUUCCCUUGGCUACCAUCUACACGUACCAUUUCUGACACACAUAACCCACCCUCCCCCAUUUGAUUCAGCACAUUUUCAGACUUUUUCCAAUUAUAUAUAUUCACAGAC